UGAAAAGUCAUGUGAGAAACUGCACUUUACACUAUACUGAACUGAAGAAAGACAACAUUCACAUCCGACAACGGGGGAGAUGGACAUGAAACAUCUAACUUGUUAAUUUAAUUUAAAACGGUUUGUUGUAUAAGGAGAUAUACAGAACAAACUACACAGUAAGUCAUAAUGAUAUUGUGAUGAGGAUCAUUGUAUUAUAAUAUUAUUUUUCCCAGAAGACUAUUACUUAUUCACACAAUGCGUUUCAAUGAAGGACUAUGCCAAGAGAAACUAUAUCAAAUACUUGUUUGAUUGGUUAAUUGAUUUAUUGAUUGCUUUAUUAUUUGUUGAAUAUAAAAACAUGUUACUUGACAUGGGUCCAUAUAUGAUGAGGUAUUUGUGGCAUUCUGAGAAACAUUGUCCUUAUUGUGUGUGUGUGUGUGUGUGUGUGUGUGUGUAGAGCUGUGGGAAUGGGAAGAAUUCUGGGGUCUCUGCUGACAGCAGCUCUGCUGAUUGGCUCAGCCCUCUGUAUGGGUGUGGUCAGUCUAACCCUAAGCCACACCUCUAGGGUCAGAGUUCACAAAGGGAGGAGCCUCACACUGACCUGCAUGAACACAACACAUGCAGGUGAGAUAAAACACACACACAAAAGACUACCUUUGUGGAAUGCCACGUACCCCUGUUAUACUGGUGUGUGUGUGUAGGAGUGGUCCAGUACUGGCACACCCCUUUCGGUCGGGUCCAGAACAGCAGUCUUCAUGCCAACCAGAAGGAUGUGAUUUCUAUGGAACGAGAUGGUAGCCUGCGGAUCCACAUUGCUUCUCCUCACCACAGCGGGCUGUAUUACUGCCUCCUCCUGGCCGGAGGACAAACUACACUCACACCCUACCUGCUGACUGCCAGCAGUUCACAGGACCAUGCUGUCGAACACAGGCGGGCGGUCAGGAGUAUUCUGGGUGGUCAUGCAGAGGAGAGGAAUGUUGCCGUGGUUUCUGACGGUGUGUUUGCGGCAGCGGUGGCAGCAUCAGUAGUGGUGACGUUCCUGGUGGGGUUCAGCUCUGGAGCUUUGAGCAGGACAUUACUGGACAGGUGUGUGAAUUGGGUGCGUUCGCUAGGACAGGAACAUUGUAACCAUGGUGAAACAGUCAGCGUGGCAUUCCGGAAGGAUGUGGAACAAGAGGAUGAGUAUUACCCUGCCUCGAUGACAAGCGUUACCAUGGAGAAUGUAAGCCCAUCUCCACCAGCCAAACCUCAGAGAAGCUUCAGGGGCAAACAUCAUGAAGAGACUGCUUACCUGGAGGGCUGCUACCAGGGGAGAGGAGAGGAAGGGAGGGAGAGGGGAGGAGAAGAGGAGAGGGGAGGAGAGGAAGGGAGGGAGAGGGGAGGAGAAGAGGAGAGGGGAGGAGAGGAAGGGAGGGAGAGGGGAGGAGAGGAAGGGAGGGAGGUGGGAGGCAGCACAGAUGGAAAAGAGAAGAGCAGGAGAGUGGGGGAGGAAGAAAGGAGUGACAGUGAGGAAGGGAGAGAGGGAAAGGAGGGGAGGAAGGAAAGUGACAGGGAGGAAGAAAGAAGAGAGAGUGAGGAAGGGAGGACAGAGUGUAAGGAGACAGAGAGUGAUGGAAAGAUUGAAGAGGGAGGAUUUAGAGGUGAUAGUAGCAGUGAUUCAGAAGAAGGGUCUGUUGGGGUGAGAGAGGGGGGAGUGGAGAGGCAGGGGGAGGGAUCAGCGGGAGAAGAGAGGUGUUCUCCUCCCCGGCCCGCCAGACAGAGCCGUGUGAUUCGUCUGUACCAGUACGAUGAGGAGGGGCAUCGCUAUAGUCACCUGCCAAACCCCGUCCCCAUGGAACGUACUUCCCCUGCUCCCCAGGCCAAGCAGCGCUCGCUGUCCCUUACCAGGCUCAACACCAUCAUGGCUGCUGCCACCGCCAGCCCCAUGGACCCACAGAACCCCCUGGGCCGAGACUCAGACCCCCAGGACUCAGACCCUGAGGAGAGGGACACAGCCAGUCCAGCCAGCCCAUCCCAGGGCCAGGAGAGACCAGUCUUUCAACUGGAGAUAUGACAUACAAUAUCUAGGCCUGUAUUCAUAAAGUGUCUUAGAGUACAGCUGCUGAUAAAUGAUCCAGUCCUAACCUGUCCAUAUAAUCUUAAUCAUUAUGAUAUAAAAGGCAAAACUGGUUCAAGAUCAGCCCUCCUAAACUUGAUAGAUGCAGCCCGAGCAGAAAGAUCUGGGUCAUGUUCAGUGACAGAGACAAUGUACCAAAAUGGUUUGAAACAGAAAACAAAAAUGUGUUUCCUACUGGAUAACUUUAACAGUUAGUGCCUCGCCAUUUCACUCCAUUGUGAAACAUUUUCUCAAUCACAAAUUCUCACACACAAAUUCCCAGACACACUUAAGAUUUUGACUUGUCAUCACAUCCAGCAGAUUCCAUGAUUGUUUUGUAAAAGCAAUUGGAAAUAAAACAUUACAAGUAAAUGUUCACUUUGGAUGAUUGUGUUGCUGACCUGUUGCAGCCUCUACAACCACUGUGAUUAUUAUUAUCUGGAUGAUUGUGUUGCUGACCUGUUGCAGCCUCUACAACC
Long non-coding RNA from Oncorhynchus tshawytscha (Chinook salmon), 2556 nucleotides. The record is from Ensembl. NCBI's taxonomy places the organism in Eukaryota, Metazoa, Chordata, Actinopteri, Salmoniformes, Salmonidae.